AAUGACAAAGCCAAAAUUCAGGCCUUGCCCAAGCUGCCAAGUCCGUCAGCAGGCCAACCGCAAAACAUGCAGUGCUUGUUUUGCCACACUGCCAAGCAAGCGGUUAUUAAAAACUGCAAAAAUUAAUGAUGACUGGGGCCAGAGGGUCGUCAAAAACAAAAAUGCAUCUCGGGUGGUGGCCUCUGCCCAAAUAGCUGUCCAAAAAAACUUUCUGCCUUGGGCUAUAUGCCCAUAUUAUUUAUCAGCCAGAGGCACAAGGGCACAGGCAAGUUGAUGGCAGAUGUAGUCACGCAUCUGCCACCGACGCAAAACAACACACGUUUCUUAACCAGCAUGAAGAGGGCAUAUGACUUCAUAAUCAAACUGGAUGAUGUGCCCCAGCCCCAGCCCCAGCAAGACCAGCCCCUCCACCUAGACCAACCCCUACCCCAAGACCAGCCCCUGCCCCUAGACCAGCUAAUCCCACAAGACCAGCCCCUAGACCAGCCCCAGAAAGACCAGCCCCUAGACCAGCCCCAGCAAGACCAGCCCCUGCCCCUAGACCAGCUAAUCCCACAAGAUCAGCCCCUAGACCAGCCCCAGCAAGACCAGCCCCUGCCCCUAGACCAGCUAAUCCCACAAGACCAGCCUACCCCAACAGACCAGCAAAUUAUUAAACUUGAACUAUUUACGAUCGACUCACAGGCUCAGCAGCAUGUGGAGCCUCUACCACCCAGGAAAAGACAAACCCCACUAUCCACCCCGGGCCUACCAUCCACCCCAGGCCAAGGCAAACGAGCCCCACCAUCCAUCCAACCUCAACUAAAGAAAAAGACAAACCACAGGUAAAGGAGCCACACAAGCCCCACCCUCUACCCUGGCCAAAAAGAAGAAAACAAAAAGUUGCAAAUGCAGUCGACAGACAAUUUAUCCAUACGAUAAAAUAUUGGAAAGACGGAUGAAUGGGGUAAGAUGUAGAACCAUAUUUUUCAUUAGGCUGUCUGAUUAUCUCUUGACUCAUGUCUGUCUCAUCUUUCAAUCCACAUGUGACAAAACAGUAACACUGAGCAGUAGGUAUCAAACUUUUUCAACUAUCAACCCUCUCACAAGUGCUACCCCUUAGGAAAAAAAAGUAUACUUCAAGUUAUUUUAUGAAGUAUACUUAAGUAAUGUUCAAGUAUAUUUUUAAGUAUACUUUAUGGAGUAAGUAUACUAGUAUCAAUGUGUACUAUUUCAAUACUGCUUGGGGCUAAAUUGGC
Long non-coding RNA from Cyprinus carpio carpio, 1238 nucleotides. NCBI's taxonomy places the organism in Eukaryota, Metazoa, Chordata, Actinopteri, Cypriniformes, Cyprinidae. The record is from Ensembl.